RNAcentral lists this non-coding RNA (22 nucleotides) under Arabidopsis thaliana (thale cress). Lineage: Eukaryota; Viridiplantae; Streptophyta; Magnoliopsida; Brassicales; Brassicaceae. The record is from RNAcentral.
CAAAACAAAGAGUUGCCCCUUG